RNAcentral lists this long non-coding RNA (1134 nucleotides) under Salmo salar (Atlantic salmon). RNAcentral describes it as "lncRNA (ENSSSAG00000094470.1)". Lineage: Eukaryota; Metazoa; Chordata; Actinopteri; Salmoniformes; Salmonidae. The record is from RNAcentral.
CCACUUGGUAUGGAAAAUACACUGCCCUUGACUGCAAAGUGCUACAGAGAGCAGUGCGGACAGCCCAGUAAAUCACUGGGGCCAAGCUCUCUGCCACCCAAGACCUCUAUACCAGUCGUUGUCAGAGGAAGGCCUGAAAAAUUGGCUAAGACUCCAGCCACCCAAGCCAUAGACUGUUCACUCUGCUACCGUCCGGCAAACGACACCGGAGCAUCAGCUCUCGGACCAACAGGGUCUGAGGCAACUUCUACCGCAAAGCCAUAAGUCUGCUAAAUAGCCAGUCUGCUAAAUAGCCAGACUGCUAAAUAGCCAGUCUGCUAAAUAGCCAGACUGCUAAAUAGCCAGUCUGCUAAAUAGCCAGACUGCUAAAAAGCCAGACUGCUAAAUAGCCAGACUGCUAAAUAGUCAAUUAAUGGUACUGACCCUACGCACACUAACUAUACAUACACAUCAAAUACACACUCACUAGACUAUAUAUACACACCAUAUACACAAUCACUAGACUAUAUAUACACACCAUAUAUACACUCACUAGACUACAUACACACUCACUAGACUAUAAACACACACUCACUAGACUAUAUAUACACACACUAUAUACACAAUCACUAGAAUAUAUAUACACCCUCACUAGACUAUAUAUACACACACUAUAUACACAAUCACUAGACUAUAUAUACACACUCAUUAGACUAUAUAUACACCCUCACUAGACUAUAUACACACUCACUAGACUAUAUAUACACACACUAUAUACACACUCACUAGACUAUAUAUACACACACUAUAUACACAAUCACUAGACUAUAUAUACACACCAUAUAUACACUCACUAGACUAUAUAUACACACUCACUAGACUAUAUAUACACUCACCAGACUAUAUAUACACACUAUAUACACACUCAUUAGACUAUAAAUACACACAAUAUCAUAUACACACUCACUAGACAAUAUACACACACUCACUAGACUAUAUAUACACACUCACUAGACUAUAUAUACACACUCACUAGACUAUAUAUACACAAUCACUAGACUAUAUAUACACUCACUAGACUAUAUAUACACACUAUAUACACAAUCACUAGACUAUAUAUACACACUCACUAGACUAUAUAUACACUCACUAGAC